GACGGGUCGGGCGGGACGGCUACGACUCCCCUCCUUUUUCUGGAACGCCGUUACCCCAAGCGCGGAUUGCGGAGCCCGCUGGGCGCUGAGGAGAGGUAUGCAGGCCAGCACAAUGCGGUUCAGUGCUCUUUAAGAACUGGAAGUGUUACAAUAUUCUGUGGUACUUAGAUGCCCAAGGGAAAGAGAUUUUUAUUAUCAUUGGUCACAGGACUGCCAAAUGUUAUCUCAUAAAUCUGUGUCUUUCACAAUGGAUGAGUGAUCUGCCAUUCUUCUUCAAGAAGAAGAGACUUUGCUACAUCAUCAGCAAACUUCAGGACUUUAUAGAUUCUACAUAAAUUGAUACUUUUGAAAGAAAGUAAGAUACAAUUUUUGACUUCUUUUUGUGAAAUCACCAAAACACUUUGCAAACAUAGAGUGCUAGCUGUCAUAGUGCAGAACCUGUUUGUGUCCUUGUCCUCAGACACAGAUACAAAACCCACUCACCUUAUUUAAAAAAUGUACUAACUACUGUUGCUGCCAGGUUGGUUCCCAGCCAGCCUAGCCAGUUUUCAUGCCUUCCUGCCAAUAAGACAUAUGAAGACUGUUUUGUUUUGUUUUAUUAAUGCGAGCAGGUGUGACUCACUAGGUGAAUUAGCUCCAGCAUGGGUCGUGUUGAAAAUUAUGGUGCAUGUGCCCUGUUGACUUUCUCCUGCAUGGAAACUCCGGUGCCUCCUGGGUUUGUAGGGUACACAGUGCAUUUCCAGACUGAAUCACCCCUCUCAGUCAGCACCACAGUGUAUGCACCACCCUUCUGAGCUCCUGUGCUAAUGUAACAGAUCUUUGCAUACCAAGCAGUCGUUUGCCAAAAUGAACCUGUUUCAUUAUACGCGCUGGUCCUAACUCUGUUCCCAUAAACAAUCUACGUUAUGCAAGUUGUGAUAAUGCCGGGGAUGCUCAACAGUAAACAAUGAGCACAGUCUUCUUCAAACCCAUCCUUAAAUCUCAGCUUUGCAGUAAUGCCUUUCGAAAUCUUGAACGCUCUUUGAUCACUGCUGGUCAUACUGACCAGUAACAUCUCCUUGUAUUCUGUUCCCUCUUUGACAUCUGUUGCCCUUUACAUUUGACGAUUUUUGUAUAAAUACUGCCAUUCUGCUUUGUUCCCUAGCACAAGAAACAGCCCAAUACAAUGGUGGUACAAAUACUAACAAUAGCAUGAGGCAUCUGGUGUCACAUCUGAUUGGGCCCUGAUGUCUUGUCCAUCAGCCUCUUCCUAUUUUGAGACAUGCAAACUCAGUAGGACCACUUGUCCAGAAUCAGGCCUGUAUUUGUGUAGCUGUUCUGUAUUCAGAGGAGGCUCUCAUGAAACAGAAAGUCCUUGCAAACUCUCAAGCGGCACAAUAACCAACUAUCCCUACUAUUGCUGUCACUGCCAUUAUGGCUGUUUUCUUUGACUGCUACCUAUAACAUUAUUUAGGAACAUGCAAAUGAAGCAAAUUAAAAUGUAUCCCUUUUGAUUCCCUUCUGAAGAUUCACCGUUUUUUGACUAAAAAAAUGCUCUGCAACAGUAAGAAAAAGUUGUGUUCAUCAGCAAAUGCUCAUACAAUGCUGUAGAAGUUACAAACAUAAGUUUCUAUUAAACAGUUGCUAUGACAAAAAAACCAGCAUCUCUUGUUUUGUAGUAUGUUUACUGUAUUGUCCUGGUAUACAUCCAUUACUUCAAUUAUCUAAAGAAAGAGGCUUUGAUAGAUUUCGACCCAAUGAUGUGAUCCUUGUGAGAGGCACACACAUGCACUUAUUGUUGAAGGUAGAAAAUGGUUGCUUUGUGCAGUUAUGGUUGUGUAGCUGGGAAUAUAGAUCAGUAGAAGCAGAAAGGCAGCCUAAUCAUGUACUCAUACUAAUAAUGAUUACUUUGUUAAGUGAGUUGAGAUCCAACCUUGGUGGAGGUUUAUCCAGUGCUCUGCAGCAUUUUGACUGGAGAACGACUUGUGGCUUGGGAAAUACAGAU
Meleagris gallopavo (turkey) is the source of this 1984-nucleotide non-coding RNA. The record is from RefSeq and is a predicted model, not a curated record. Lineage: Eukaryota; Metazoa; Chordata; Aves; Galliformes; Phasianidae.